AUAUCAAUAAGCGGAGGAAAAGAAACCAACAGGGAUUGCCUCAGUAACGGCGAGUGAAGCGGCAACAGCUCAAAUUUGAAAUCUGGCCCUCUCAGGGUCCGAGUUGUAAUUUGUAGAAGAUGCUUCGGGUGUGGCUCCGGUCUAAGUUCCUUGGAACAGGACGUCAUAGAGGGUGAGAAUCCCGUAUGUGACUGGUUGCCUUCGCCCAUGUGAAGCUCUUUCGACGAGUCGAGUUGUUUGGGAAUGCAGCUCAAAAUGGGUGGUAAAUUUCAUCUAAAGCUAAAUAUUGGCCAGAGACCGAUAGCGCACAAGUAGAGUGAUCGAAAGAUGAAAAGCACUUUGGAAAGAGAGUUAAACAGUACGUGAAAUUGUUGAAAGGGAAGCGCUUGCAACCAGACUUGCGCGCUGCUGAUCAUCCGGUGUUCUCACCGGUGCACUCUGCUGCGUUCAGGCCAGCAUCGGUUUCGGUGGUUGGAUAAAGGCCUAGGGAAUGUAGCUUCUUUCGGGGAGUGUUAUAGCCCUAGGUGCAAUGCAGCCUACUGGGACCGAGGACCGCGCUUCGGCUAGGAUGCUGGCGUAAUGGUUGUAAGCGA
This 593-nucleotide ribosomal RNA is filed under the name uncultured fungus. RNAcentral's name for it is "eukaryotic LSU rRNA". It matches the Rfam family "Eukaryotic large subunit ribosomal RNA", at positions 40 to 647 of the family's 3401-position model. Lineage: Eukaryota; Fungi. The record is from RNAcentral.